Long non-coding RNA from Falco peregrinus (peregrine falcon), 12862 nucleotides. RefSeq lists it as uncharacterized. The record is from RefSeq and is a predicted model, not a curated record. NCBI's taxonomy places the organism in Eukaryota, Metazoa, Chordata, Aves, Falconiformes, Falconidae. The transcript is spliced from 2 exons.
GCCGGGGGAGGCCGGACCGGGCCGCCCCUGCCCCGGGCAACAGGUCGGCCAGGCCCGGCUGCCGUGGGCCGCCGGGGCGGCCCGUGAGGCCGCGGGCUGUGCUCGGGGGGCACCGCGGCCGUCCCGGUGGAGCUGCCUGGGGCAGCUUAUCGCCGCCCGGUGUAGCGGGAGCCGCGCAGCCCUCCCUGCGGAGCCUGCCGCCCUUCCCCCGGGGGCUGGUGCUGGAGCAGGCUUCUCCCGCUCGGGAGGGCAGCCCGUGGUCUGUGGCGCUGCCUGACGUGGGGGCCGCGUCACUCCCGCGUGAUGGUGUCACGGCGCUGCGAGGCUUGCUCUCUGUUCUGUUGGCGUGACGCUUUAGGCGGAGGUUGGUAAAACGUUGCAAAGCAGAAGCUGGUUGCGUACAGGGGUAGCUUUGAAGUAGCUGGAAAAGCUCCUUCAUCAGCCUGGAGUGAGGCCUUGCUUUGCUGUGCUGGUGGGUUUUCUUCUAACCAGCAAAACUCUUCACACUGGUUAAUCUGAGGAUUUGGUUAAAUAUAUUGUUAUUGUUGUCAGGGUAUCCUAAAGCUAUAGGUGGCUUAUAAAUGGAUAUUAGCAAUCCAUGUUUAUUUACCAGGUGGAACUUGCCCCCCCUGGGGAGGUGUAGCUACGUAUUUGCAGGCAGCGCUUGAUAUGCGUUAAUGGUCUGUCAGCCUGAAGAUGAGAAGUGGCUUGUCAGCUUAUGUAUUUUGGUACUCUGAUGAGCUUGCUUGUUUUACAGUGGUCAUUAAAAGCAGUGUUUUCAGGAAAGCAUAUUUCGAUUUUUGUGUUGACACUGCUCGUUUUGUGUGGGGUUACAGCAGCACUGCAGGGUUUGAAGCAGGAGGCGCUGCCCUCUCUGGCACCCAGAGUUGCUAACACAUGACUGUUGGCCAGGUAGCAAGGGGUUAAUUUACAGUAAUUACCAAUAACAGUUUCUGCUCCCUAUCGCUGCUUUAGUCAGCAUUUUAAGCCUACUUUCAAACUUCAGAAUAGUGUGCUACAUUAGAACUUCUCACUUGGCACUGUGUUUGAGUGAUAGUGCCAAUGGAGCAAGCUCACGAGUGCUCACAGGGUUUGUAGGCAGCGACAGCGUGGCAGAGGCCUCACUUCUGCAGCCCCAGGUGUCUUCUGAAGGGCCGCAACAGAGCAUGACUUCAGGCUUAAUGAAGUUUCUAAAUCAAAUUAAUUGCAACGGUUUUAAUAAGUUGAGUUUCUGGUGCAGUUUUUGGGCAACUUUAGCAAUAAGCUUAAAAGGAGAGCUAAAAUAAAUCUCUUUCUAGCCUUCCUCUUCUGCAGGUCGCAGCACUCCUGUUUAACUUCUAAACUUCUCUUUCUGCCGCUGACAGUUCAGGUCUUUGUCUUGCUCUACUGUAAUGCCACAUCUCUCCGUGCCUUUCUGUUGCUGCCCUUCAGUGUGCUCUGGAGCGCUUUGGGUAGUGAAGGGAUUAAAUUUCUUUGGAGGUGGAGGAAGGAGAAAAACCUGCCCAUUCACUAGCAGGAUUCUGGGUCAGACUAAUGAGGUCUUGAAGAAGGACAGGAUCCUGAUGAGUAAUUAAGGAGCUGUGAAAAGGAGAAGGGCUGGGGAUGGUUUUCUGGUGGACAACAAACUUUUUUUUCCAGAGGACUUUUGAAACUUAGAGGCCAACUUUUAUUAUUGGGCUGCUAAUAAAGACAGCUGAUUACCUAUUAGCUUGCUGGGAUGUGAGUUCCCCGCAGGACACGCUAAGGCACUGCUCAUUUGUUCAGGGUUCAAGAUGCCAGUCAUCAGCUGAGCUCCAACAAAUUGCAUUUUUAUUAUGUGCGGUUGUUUGGAUUUUUCCUUCUCUGACCUCAGGUGGUUUUAUAAUCCAGAAGUUAGAUAAUCUUGAUGCAAAGUCACUUAAAUCCAUAAUUUAAGUGAAAAGAAAAAUAUGUUAGUUUUAUAUAUGAAAGCCUGUCUUUUUAAUGGAAAUACAUUGAUAUAGUUGAGAUGUUUUACAUAAAACGGAUGAAAGCUACACAACUAGAGAUUUUUUCUUUUGAAGUGUUAGAUUGACUUUAAAAAAUAUAACUUGAUAAAUCCUUAAGCUUUCUUAGUCCUCCAAGACCUAAGCAUUUUACUCUGGAGAUGUCUGUAUAUCCCUGCUAUUCAUAGAGAAGCAUACUGUGGCUGGUGCAUAUGCGUAAUGCUCAGCUGGACGGUUGUGCUGACAUUAAUGGAAGCUGUUGGGGUAAAGCUGGCAGAAGAAUAGACGUGUCUGCAGCAGGGGCAGGGAGCUUACCUGAAAGCUUAAAGCCACCUUGGAAAACCUGGAAUGAUGCUUUUGUUUUCUCAGAGGAAAGAUGGGUGUCUGGCACACUUGGGGUAACAAAAGGAUACGUUCUCUGCUCUCCAGCACACUAUGCGAUUGUUCCAGUGCCAAGCGAGCGGGGUUUCUAAAGGCUCAUUGACUAAUUCCUACGGCGCUUCUGGAGUCUAAGAAAAGCCCAGAAACUUACAGGCCUUCUGGUUCCUGUGCCUGCCCCAAGCACAUGCAGUUUUUUUUAAUUUAGGAACUUACUGUAAGUCUAUAUUUUUCAUAAUACACAUUUAGGAUAUCCAGGCUAUAUAAUCAGACAACUCCUCAUGAAAUUUUGAAGUUAAAAUGAGUAACUACCUGGUACACAUUUCUUUAAUCUGUUGUUUAUUGGCAUGGGAGGCUUUCAACUUUUGUUAAAAGUUCCUUUUUUCAGGGCCUUUUUGUUCCUUUCUGGCUGCACAGACGUGGCAGAUUUAUCAUCGCUGUGCUUCCUGAAGUAACUCAAGUGUAGUAACUUUUUUUUUUUUUUUGCUUUCACUCUACCAAUUCCUUCUCAUUAGUCCACAGUAUCAAAAUAGUUGCUGGGGGCAGGCAACAGUCUCAAGUGUUAUGUUGGUGCGAAGGCACCUGUGCCGCUUCUGGAGCGUGUUACGGAGACCAGCAGUUACAGCUUUAAUGUGCGUGUCAUUUUUUUUGUCCAUGGGGUGAAGAACUGCUUAGAAGACUGAUCAUCUUUAGAAGGGUUUCUUGAAAAGGUGCAAGCUAAUAUUCCUUCUUCUGGGAAGCACUUGGGUUAUACUUGUGUUUUGUUUUGUGUUCUUAUGGAAACAUUCAGCCUACUGUUUUGAAAAUAGCGUGUGUUCUGGUGGGUUUUUUUCCCCUCCUCCCCUGUAGAGGCUCUUCAAAACUUUUGCUUUUAGCUCAUCAGUAGUAGACUUACUGCUCUCCCUGAAGUUAAUGGAGGCAGCAGUAAUAUGGCGUAGUUUGAACACCAGUCAGCCAGUAUCUUACUGGAUUUUAAGUCUGUCCUGAAAAUAAAUUUUGCUGUAACAAAAGAAGUGUGAAGCUGUGAGCUUGAAAGUUUGUAAGUACUGUGCUGCUGCUGCAUCCUUUUAUUCCACUCCAGUUUGUCAAUAUAGAGUUGUUUCAUCAAAUCUGGGAUGUUUUAUCAGGCACUCAAACUUGAUGAAAGAAACCAAACUGCUAGAUCUUGCCAAAGGUUAUGAAGUUCUGGGACUUUAUUCAGUUUCAGGAUAGCUCAAGCUGAUCUUAAUCACCUACUGCUGCUCCAUUUUUACUGUUUUAUUCCUUUCUUUGUGGCUGUUGUCUGGUCACGCAAAGCCAAGCUGCCAGAGAAAUAGCACGCACACACAGAGAAGCAAUGGGUUAAUUCCUUGAUCUCUGACUACUAUGGCUAUAAUGAUUCCAGAAUCUGUUUCUCGUGGAAACCCAAAGCUCAAGCUGUGUCUCAAUGUGAAGAUUAUAGUAGGGAGAGAAACCUGAUGCUGUCCUAGGGUGCCACUUCUAUAAGUAGUCCACUCCAGAGUUUAGAUCUAGGAUGAAUCAAUGCAGUUAUGUUCCUGCCUGCUAGUGGAUUUUACCUUCUUGUGAAUGAACACUAGGUCCACAGACACCAUAGUGGGUGAAAAGCUAAUACUGUGCCAAUAUACAGUAAAUUCAUUCAGACUUUAGCAGGAGACUGAUGUUUCAUGGAUUUUCUAUCAACUCUGAUUUUGGUUAGCUGGUGUUUUUUCUCCUCUGAUGUCAAAAUUUCGCUUUCACUGUAAAUAAAUAUAACGCGGGUUUUUUUCAGCACUGGUGACCAAGUGCACAAAAUAGAUGCAAAACCACAACUAUAUUCCUGCUGUGUAAUUCAGGCUUUUCCUGGGGAGAGCACACUCCUAUUCUCCACCUCACACCAAAAUCAAAUGAACAAGGAAGCUGGGUGCAGGCUGAAGCCAGAAGUCAUGAUUUUGUGCCCACCUCCAGCUUGCAAUAGAUCACAGUGCUGCCACAGGUAAGUCAGUUCAGCUGGCUGAUCUGGUGGAAAAUUAACUGUUUACUGUCACCUUUUCUUAAUGUCACAUCAGUCUGCUGAUCUGAUUUGCCUGUUGCUGGAGGGUUGCUGUGUCUGGCACCAGAACAGAGACAGAAUUGCUUCUUUCAGUACCAGGUUAGUUAACCUGGCUGAAACAUACAACUGGUGUGGGGUGAUGUGGCUGUGGAACUGGUGCCAGUUGAUCUCGAGUGAUGUGGCUGCCAGAAGUGGUAGUGCCUUGUUCGGCCUGUACCUCUUGUGCUGGCGUUAGCAUUUGUGUGAGUGCAUGAAUUGGAUUAGUUUGCUGAUCCAGCCAAAACCUAACUGUUAUAAAAAAACCCCCAUCAAACCCCCAAAAAACUACCAAACAAACAAACAAACAAAAGGUUGUUUUUCCCACUUAACCACAGAAAUGCUAGAGCUGGCAGGAGAGAGAGUUAGGAGUGUGACUGGGAGGAGGAGGGCAAUUCUGUCUCUCCUGGCAACAGCUCUCUGCUUGGUCAGCUUACAGGUACCAAUUGUGAUAAAAUCUGAGGGUGACGUGCAGUCUCCCAGCAAAGAAGUCAGUUGAUCAUUAAUUAAAAAGUGGAAGCAUGCCUGCAUGAUGGCGUAGACAAUUUUGUUUAGAAGUUUGAGUUGUUCAAAAUGUUGUGAUGAUCUGGAAUUCAAGGCAGGAAAAGCUGCAACCUCAGGCCUGGGUGUGGGCAAAGACUCAAAUGACCUGUGACUCUGUGUGUCAGGUCUUAGACUUUAAUGUGUUGCUUGUGAAUGUGUUUUUAAGGUCCUGCUUGACAUUUGACAAGAAAAGUGAUCUCUGCUCACAGAACCAAAUAACAGGAGGCUGGUUUUGUUUCCGUGGGUUGUAAGAUGCUGAUGUAGGGGAAGCACGAGUCCUACAGCAAACACUAUCCAGCCCUUCUUGUGGUACUUGUCUCCCUUUUCAAUGUUUUAAGUCAUAGUCUAAUAUAAAAUGCAUUUUUAAGUUCCAGGUGCUUAACUGUAAACCAUGACUUCAGUGCAAGAGUACUGAUAGGAGUACUGGCCUGAGUCCUUCAUCUCACCUGAGAUUAAUGAGUUGAGCCAAAUUAAUCAUUUGGCUUGGGAAAAGUGUGAUAAUUGCUCUUUUAAAAUAAUGUUUAAAAACAAGAGGAAACUUCCUGUUUGUAAUUCUACCCUCCCUGUGUUUAACAGAGGCUCUUGGAGACAAGAUUGCUGUAGUAUAGAAGUUUGGGAGGGAUGGAGGGGCUUCACAAACACCUUUUAAAACAGCUUUAUAAAGUGGCAUAAAUAAAAGCAAAAACCUGGGGUUCUGCCAGAUGUGUUGGGUAACUGUAUUUGAUGCAAUACGUCCUUCCUCUGUUCCUGUUCUCUGUCAAGCCCUGCCAGAAGGGAAACCUGCCGUUCAGCGAGGCCUGGACAGGCUGGAGAGGAAUCUCACAGAGUUCAACAGAGGCAAGUGCAGGGUCCUGUCCCUGGGGAGGGAAAGCCCCACGCACCGGCACAGGAUGGACUGACCUGCUGGGCGGCAGCUCUACAGAGAAGAUCCCUUCAGGGCGAGUGCCAAGAGGACGGGGCCAGGCUCUUCUCAGCGGUGCCCAGCGACAGGACACGGGGCAACGGGCACAAGCUGCAGGACAGGAGGUUCCAUCCGAAUACGAGGAAAAACGUCUUGAUGUGCGGGUGCCAGAGCGCUGGGACAGGCUGCCCGGAGGGGCUGCGGAGUCUCCUUCCCUGGGACAUUCCAAACGCGCCUGGACGCGCCUGUGCAGCCAGCCCGAGGUGACCCUGCUUCAGCAGGGCUUGGGCUGGGUGCUCUCCAGGGGUCCCUUCCCACCCCGACCCCUCUGGGGUUCUGUGAUAGUGACUGCAUUUGCCCAUGUAGCUGCAUCUUAAGCUCAUUUGAAUACCUGCUGCCAGGUUACUCCAUGCAUGCAAAGACUUGUAACGUCUUUCACUGUGAAACUUGUCUUUUGGAGUCUCCCUUUCUGAUAAGGCUGUGAUCAGCUAUGCUGGCUGUUUCACUGAUGUGGUGGUGUGUUACGUGUUACCAAACAUCCAUAUUGUGUGCGCUGUUCAUGGCCUGGCAGGAGCUUGUUCAGGUUUAAGGAUGUCAUGUUUACUUCCAGGUGACUGCACAGAGGUUGCUUGGAUGUAGUGGAACUAAAAAGAAACAUAGAUGCCUGGGUGACAGGAACAUCAGCUGAUGAUAUUCAGAAACUUAUAGGUGAUUUUUGUGAGUUUUGAAAGAAAAUAAGUUUAUCUAAAACUUCAUAACAGGCCAGAUAGGAACUGUGCACAGUCAUUGCAUCUCCCCCGAAGGUAGUACCGUAAUAAGAUGUCUUGCCAGCAUCCCCAUGCUCAGCACGUGUGAUGUCCUGGCGGGAAACAGAGUGGUAGAAAGCCUCUUCUGGUAAGUGUUUUCCUGGCAGCGCCAUCAACUUGUGAUGUGAGGGCUGCAGUAAUUACUUAUUGCUAAACCUGGCUCCUGGAGCUGGUCACUGCCUAAGAGUGUGGGCUUGCCAUUAAGAAAUGCAAUUUGGUUCUGGCCUCAAGAGGCGUGCUGCAGUGUUACCAGCUAAGUGUUUGGUGGUUGAUUCAAGAAAUCUUUUCUUAAAUAAAUGUAUUUUGUCUUAUUUGCUUGCUAAGUUUUGUGUUUCUAAAGGUUUAUGUUUUCAGCUUUUUCCCCCUUAGUCGUUACUGUUGGAAUCUGAGUAUUCAUGAAAAAAGUAAUUUUUCACAUCUCAAAAUAGCGUAACUUCACCAGAUGAGAUGUUAAGAGAAAUUGUCAAUAUUAUGACAGCCUCAACGAAAUUCUUAGACUUGGCAAUACUCUAACAAUAAUUGCCCAGAGCUGGCAGAUGCAUGUUGGGUUGCCCAUGGUGCUUGCUUUCUGGACUAUCCACCUCUGUUGUGGCCAGGCCUGGUGGGGGUUACUCGGCAUGCUGGUUCUGCAUCCAGCACUGCAAUAUGUUUCCAUCUGUAACUUUCAGCUGGUGUGAAUUACUCGUGGUUUCAGGAAUAAAGAGCACUGUAAUCAUGGAUUCUGACCUUUGGAAACACACUUUCUGCACUCCUUGUGAAAAUGGCUGCUUGUGACUAAUCACUCGUAAGGGAGCGUGACGAGGAAGUGUGUUAACGCUUCAAGUAUAGCUGCCUUACGGCUCAGCUAUGGGAUGUGGAACAACAUCAGCAACUACUGGCACAAAGACAGAGUCGAUGCUGGCUGGAGCACUGAGCAGUGCUGUGGUUGGCGAUGCCUUGAAGGUGGUGGUUGCUGUUCUGUUUGGGUAUUGUGUGUAUUAAUGCUCUCUUUGAUGUUGUACGCAAUACUUCAUUAUCUUUUUUUUUUGCCUUUGUGUGUUUGUUUCUUAGACCAGGAGUGCUUAUUGUUUAACCUCUUGCAUGAGAGACUAAAUGUUCUGGCAGUGCUUUGCUCAAGGGGAAGUUGUAAUCUUGUUUUUUAAAUACAGAUAGGACAGAAACCUUCUUGUAUUCUCUGCCUGGGUUUGUAUGCUUUAUUUGGAUAGUUAUAAUCGGUCACUUCAUCUGUGAGCUGGGAAUAGUUGCCUUCAUUUGAGGAUAUGGUUUGGGAACUUUAUUAGAUGUUUAGUAGACAGACACAGAAGGAUAAGUGGAGGACCAAGACUGAACUCUGCUCAUGAUUCCCUGCUAAAAGUGCAGCAUCCCCCAAAAGAAAGGCACAGGAGGCUGCCACAAGCACUUGUGAGCUGCUUUCUGGAAACCAUGCUGGAGACAUUAGGCCCUGCAUUGGGGGCCAGGCAUUCAGCAUGAAGCGACUUCUAGGCCUGUAGAUACCCUCUGGACAUCAGAUCUCAGUAGGUGAUCCUCACGGGAGAGGAAGUCAUGCUGCUUUGCACUGUAUUAGCCUUGGAGUUGAUGUGCAUUUAUUUUUAACCAUGCUUUGGUACUUCUGUCUCCCAUUCGUUUUCACACCAUGAUGCUUAAAAUGAAAUCUGACUUCUUGGACCUCUUGACAUUUUGUGCUGUGCCAUCUGCUUGACUUAGUGUACCUGGGUAUUUAAUGGAAAACCAGUUAGGAAUAUGGUUAUCUAUCAGUUUCACAGCCAUCCUUUCUUUCUUCUUCUUUAGUCCCUUGUAUGAAGCCUUUAUGCUACUGGCUCUAAAGGCUUUACGUUUCUUUUCAUGUAGAGAAAGCUCGCUAACAUGUGGGAUGUAGGCAAAUCUCUGCUGGAGCACAGGAUGGGUAGGAAAUAUUUCCAGAACUGGAAACAGCACCAAAACAAAAAUACUCAGGCAGAAGCUUGCAGGACAAGGGUGGUUUCUAGCUGUUAUAUCUAGAGGAGUUACAUGGUUUUGGAAAUACUCUGAAAAUUUUUUGAAACACCCUGAAAAGAUCUGAUCUCUAGGACCCUGAAUAGAGAAUUAAGUGUCACCUGCUUCUGCAUCUUGUUAGACUUGCCUGGUCUGGGCCAAGCAUUUCUUGGUAGGUACUGCAGACUGUUGUGGCAAGAUACAGCCUGGAUGCUUUUAUGCCAGGUUUGGUUUGAACCAACACAAACAUUCUUCUGCUAGUUAACUGUUCCUUGACCCAGAAAAUCCCUGUAGAAAGGUAUUUUUUCAAGGCUGGACUCAAUGGUGUGAAAGAAGUGUAGUAAGACUGUAGUGGGAUUUAUAUCUACAGAUUUUUAUCUGCUUGUAGCAUUGGAGGAUGUUUUGCGAAUUGCUUUAAAUUACCUUUUUGCUUCUUAGGAUUUUUUUUUGAGGUAUUGUAGGCAGUUUGCUGACUCUCAAUGGAAUGAGAGAUGACCAGUUGCUGCCUAAGAUUAAGCUAUGCUACUGUAGGCAAGACAGCCAAUUACUUACACCUAUCGGUGCCUCUUGUUUGUCCCAUUUCAAGGACAGCAAGGAUGUUCUUUGUGAUUAAAUUUGCCGAGGCAAGUGCCAGGAAGAUGGAAUGGUAUUUUCAGAAGCAGCAAAAAUAAUGACACUUCUUUUGUUGAGCAAAUUAUAGAUGGAUACACAGUAUAAUGUGCAAGACAGUCACCCAAUAUUAAGUUGAUUAUCUCAAUCAUCUCUAGUGUCUGAGCUUUCUGCUAGAGGGGCCAAGAGACCCCCAUUUGGGAAGCUCCUCUGCAGCUAUCUUGCACAAUUUAUUUUGGCAUGGUUGAAAUUUGGUGUACAUUAUUUUUGAGGCUGCUGCGGAACUCUUGCAUCCUAUAUUAAUACAGCUGGUGUCCUGCAGUGGUGUGUCUGCUGCUUGCUAGACAGACUGUAAGAAUUUGGUGUGAGAUUAACUUAUUUUUUUUCCCCUUAGUUGGAGCAAUCAGAGCUAUUAACCCAUGUGUCUUCGUCUGGAUGAGAAGCCUUUUCUAUUCUAGGUAUUGGCGUGAUUUUUAGCAGAUUUUUGCAGAGGCAGGAGUCGGAUAGCAGGAAACGCAUGUUGUGAGCCACCAGUCGGGACACAUUCUCUGGGUUCACAAAUGCUUGGACCUUGGUACAAGUGUGGCUUUGAAUUUGAUGGAACUCUUGAAUUGCAUUUUCAGUUGUUCUCAGUACUCUUUGAAGUACCUGGUCCUCCUGUUCCUUUCAAGUUGAGAUGUGUUUUUGCUAGCAAAAUACGGAGUUGCAAGUAUGUAGAAAAAAAUUCUUGAGUCUUUGUUUUUAAUCUACUAAUCUAUACUUUUCUGCUAAUGAUACUUAAAAGCAUUAAUUCAGUAGAAUUGCUGUAUGCAUAAAUAUUCCAUUAACAUUACUUGUCUUACAAGUGUAUAAGCAAUAUGUACUUGCAGGAGGGCUGUUGAUUUUUAAUGAAAUCACUGAUGUGUUCAUAGUCAAUUUUUCCUCUCUGAAUGUGGUACCAUGUAGUACCAUUGUAUUUUUAUUAUCCAGCUAACUUCUUACCACAGUGAACAUUUUUCUUAUUUCACUAACAAACUGCUGUAAAUACUGCAAGGAAAGUCUUAAGACUUACUGUUAAUAAUAAUUUGCUUAUAUACAGGUUGAAAUACUUUUAAAAUACACAAAAUUAAAUUCUUAGAGAUGGCAUUUCUUGAGAACAAAGUAAAAUUAUUUGGGUGAGCAGUUAUGCUUUUCAGACUGUGAGUGCUGACAGAGGAGGAUAAUCUGGCUAAAUGACUCAACCCUUCAUUUUUGAGUGUUUGUUAGUCGGGAGUUGUGACUGAAAACCGAAACAUGAGUUCCUGCUUAUCAGCUGUGCUGGGGAGCUGGGUGCUGCCAUGGUAGGCAUAAUAAUGAAAGCCUCGGCUUCUUGUUAUUCGCUGUGGUCAAACAGUAAGUGAGAAACUUCUGCUGGAAUUUCUAGGGGGUGGCUAUCACAGAAAUGCAAAUAAAUAGGAAAUAAAAAAUAGUAUUUUGCAGCUAAUCAGUUGGAGACUGUAAAUAAAUAAAACCCCAACAACAAAAGCAUACCCCACCAAAAAAACAAACAAACCAACCCAAACAAACAACCCCAGGUGAGGGAAUAGCUUUUUCUGUAUGAAAAAGUUUGAGUUCUUGAAAAGGCUGAGAGAUGUUCUUCAAAUGUACUUUUGUACGUGUUUUUAUGUUCAAGUAAUUGAAGCAGUCAGUCCAGAUCAAACAGCUUUUGACUCAGCUGCUGUUUUACUGGACUUGCCCCCCUCUCUGCAAGCCAAUCUCUUAGUGAGAAUUUCUGUGUAGAAAGGAGCUGGAGAGAUUAUAGUCUGACGCUCAUUAACACUGAGACAUACUAUAUUACUUUGCCAAUGAAAAAGAGGUCAUAAACUAUUUAUAUCAAUUUUAACUGGUCAGAGCUCUGUGGUGAUAUUUUUAUGAAUAAAAAUUGGCUUCAAUGGCCCAGUUGUAGCUGAUAUUAAAGGCAAUGAAUAUAUCAAAAUAUCAUAUGAAGAAGAUAAUUUUGAGCCUGCUGACCGUCUCCUGAUGGAUGACAGGAGUCACCCAGUUAGGUAAUACAUUUAAAACUUUAAUUUAAUUGUAAUAAUAUAGAUAUAACUGCUUUUUCCUCAGUGCAUACUUCUUUAUGUAUUCUGUUGAAAACGUCACUAAAAUUCAAAUAAAGUGCAACUAAGUUUUGUUAUCUGCUGGGUUUUUUUUUAGAGGAUAUUUUUAAGUGCAUGCAGUUCAUAAUGCGCAUUGGACUUCCAAGCUAAAACGCACACUGUGCCUGUUAAGGGUAAGAUAUGGAUUGUAAAGGUUGUCUUACUGAGUGUUUAUUGGCAAUUCUUGCUGUGGUCUGGUGGAAACUUAACUUCCCAUGUAAUGAUCAAAUAUUUUUGCUGUCAUUGGGUCUGUGUUGAUUCAUUAAGUGAAAGUUAUCUUAAAUAUUGUAUUUUUUUGUAAUUGUAAAUUCUAAGACUACCAACAGUUUUCUCGCAUCAGUUUAGCUAACCCAUGGCUGUUUUGUAGGUCAGGAGGGUAAUCUGUCUGUUGUAAAAUGGUUCAGCAACUACUGUCUUUUCCUGACGUGCAACCUGUGGGAGAUUUCAGCUAAAAAUGUAUAAAAAAAAGGGGUGUGUGGGCGUGGGGCAAGAAAAAAAAUCCCCUCCUAAACCAGCUGGUGAUGUGAACUGGUACCCCUCUUUUUAUAUGAAAUAGGGAAAUUUCAAGAGUAAGUUAACCCACACCCAAAGGCAGGAUGUUGUGGGACUUGUGUUACUGAGUGACUUCGCUGGAGUGUCACUUCUUACCGAGGGAAGGCUGCCCGUGGGACAGUGGGAGCUGGUCAGGGACACCGCCUGUCAUUCUUCUGUGGCUGUUCCUGGCAUCCUUUGUUGCAAGUCCCAUGCCGAGGAGCUGGGGAAAAUUUUCAUACAGAACUGUUUCCUUCAGCUUUGAGCAAGAGUAGUGCUAUGCCAAGCGAUCCUGCAAGAACUGUGCCUUGCCCGGUACUCAUUGCCUGCAACAGACUGGAUUUACCAGCUGUGCUUAAGUAAUUAGUAACAUGUAGAGAUCGUAGUUGGGAUCUUUCUGUGCUUUAUUCUAUAUAAAGGCUAAGAAAUACACAGGCACAACAUGGUGAGGCUAAGCGUCAGCCCUUAACUUGUUUUGAGCCUCUGAAUAUCAGGCACUUUGCAGAUGCUGCUGUGAGUCUGGUGCAGCGAUCUGUAAUCUUCCAGCUUUUUACUCCAAGAUAAGGAAAUGGUUGCACUGCUGGAAACCUUAGAUCAGCCAUUUCUAGAAAAAUGUGCUGGUGAUCUUUCUAGCAACAGGUUCUGGUCACAGGCAAACUCUUGUCUGGCUAGGCUAGGGAAUAAAUGCUUUAAACUUAAUAUAUGGUUGCAGGUCCUGCUGAAGCAGUUCCACAGCAGUUAAAGCUGGGUAUUAAAUUACUUUGCCUGCCGAUGUGAUUACUAUCUUGGAAGCAGUAAAGGCAUAAUUAGGGGUGUGGGUCCUGUGGGCUGCUUCUUCCACGGCUGCCCAACGUUACACUUCGACUUCAAACACACAUCCAUUUUUUUUUCAUGUGUAUAAUGCUAGAGGACAUAUUUGUAGCCUACUGUUUCUGUUUCAUAUUUAUUUCAAAUUCUGGAAACUUUUUUUUUUGUGA